CAGGAGAUUUUCCAUGUCUACUCUGGUGCCAUUACUGGAAGAUCCUUCCAUUUUCUACAAGGGAUUUUUACCUAUAUUGUUGAGAAGUGGAAUCCCCUUUGGUAGCUCUGUACCUUCAGCUUCUCCCUCUGUGGUAUCCAUUCCCUGCCACAACUAUAGAAUCUGCAAUCUGAUAUCUGAGAGUGACCAAAAGAAGAGAAUAAAUGUCCAGCCUCCUUGUCACAAGGCAGGACAACAUUAUGUUGUUCCUUAGGCUCCAGAGCUCCCAUGAAUCUUGCUGAGGGAAAAAAUGACAUAACCACUAAAAAGAAUGACUGCUAAAGAUCAGGACAAGACUUUGACCAGUGGAAGUCAGGAACAGCAAAUAAACAUUUUCCUCAUCUCUUCCCACCAUACUAACUGUCCUGAGAUGCAAAAGUCCAUAAGGUCUCUCCUAAGACUGUCCCACAAAAUGUAGCAAUUAGUUAUUCUUGCUGUCAAGCAGUGCUCAGCUCAUAUUAUACCUUAUAUUUUCUCUUCCUCAUUCUCUGUAUCACUCAUCUUUUCUGUCAUUUCUAGUUCCCUGUAUUUUA
This 572-nucleotide long non-coding RNA is filed under the name Homo sapiens (human). RNAcentral describes it as "HSALNT0304842". The record is from RNAcentral. Lineage: Eukaryota; Metazoa; Chordata; Mammalia; Primates; Hominidae.